AGUGAACGCUGGCGGUAGGCCUAACACAUGCAAGUCGAGCGGCAGCACAGUAAGAGCUUGCUCUUACGGGUGGCGAGUGGCGGACGAGUGAGGAAUACAUCGGAAUCUACUUUUUCGUGGGGGAUAACGUAGGGAAACUUACGCUAAUACCGCAUACGACCUACGGGUGAAAGCAGGGGAUCUUCGGACCUUGCGCGAUUGAAUGAGCCGAUGUCGGAUUAGCUAGUUGGCGGGGUAAAGGCCCACCAAGGCGACGAUCCGUAGCUGGUCUGAGAGGAUGAUCAGCCACACUGGAACUGAGACACGGUCCAGACUCCUACGGGAGGCAGCAGUGGGGAAUAUUGGACAAUGGGCGCAAGCCUGAUCCAGCCAUACCGCGUGGGUGAAGAAGGCCUUCGGGUUGUAAAGCCCUUUUGUUGGGAAAGAAAAGCAGCAGGUUAAUACCCCGCUGUUCUGACGGUACCCAAAGAAUAAGCACCGGCUAACUUCGU
This 491-nucleotide ribosomal RNA is filed under the name uncultured bacterium. Its description in RNAcentral is "partial 16S ribosomal RNA". It matches the Rfam family "Bacterial small subunit ribosomal RNA", at positions 29 to 506 of the family's 1533-position model. The record is from RNAcentral.